RNAcentral lists this ribosomal RNA (459 nucleotides) under uncultured bacterium. RNAcentral's name for it is "partial 16S ribosomal RNA". It matches the Rfam family "Bacterial small subunit ribosomal RNA", at positions 338 to 795 of the family's 1533-position model. The record is from RNAcentral.
CCUACGGGUGGCAGCAGUGAGGAAUAUUGGUCAAUGGCCGGAAGUCUGAACCAGCCAAGUCGCGUGAGGGACGACUGCCCUACGGGUUGUAAACCUCUUUUAUAAGGGAAGAAUAAAUGCUACGUGUAGCAUGAUGCCUGUGCCUUAUGAGUAAGCAUCGGCUAACUCCGUGCGCGCAGCGGCGGUAAUACGGAGGAUGCGAGGGUUAUCGGGAUUUAUUGGGUUAAAGGGGUGCGUAGGCGGCUUUUUAGGUUAGUGGUUAAACGUCGGGGCUUCACCUGGAUUUGCCAUUAAAACUGUAGGACUUGAGUUCAGACAGGGAAGGCGGAAUAAGUGAUGUAGCGGUGAAAUGCUUAGAUAUAACUAAGAACUCCGAUAGCGAAGGCAGCUGACCGGACUGCGACUGACGCUGAAGCACGAGAGCGUGGGUAGCGAACAGGAUUAGAUACCCCAGUAGUC